Esox lucius (northern pike) is the source of this 2044-nucleotide long non-coding RNA. The record is from Ensembl. Lineage: Eukaryota; Metazoa; Chordata; Actinopteri; Esociformes; Esocidae.
UGUCGAUGUGCAGAAUGAGCUUCCUUCUCUGUUCACCUGUCUUCUGUAUUUACAAUAUUAACAGAAGAAGGCCAUUCUUAACGUCUACACAUCGUUGUCUCCUGAGAAGUAGGUCUGUGUGACCAUGACAAUCGCUAAUCAGGACUAGCACCUAUGUGUUCGAACCUUAAAAGAGAAUGGGAUAUGCGAGCAACAUACCAAUUCACGUGUGUGUGUGUGUGUGUAUACGACACCUUGUACCUGUGUAAAGAAGACAGACAUCCUGUGCUUGUCCUAAGAUCUGGACGGAGCCUACCCACCCUACGGCUACACUGACCUGCCCAUGGAUGGCAUCCCAUUGGAGGCAGAAAUGCAUGAGCAGUACAUGCCUGAGAUGACCUACGACCCCCGACAGGCCUACCCAGAGCCCCUUUAACACACAGGGCUAGGCACAAAAUGGAGUUAGAGAAAUGAGCAUGAAGACCACGGAGAGAUGGCUGGAUGCGGAUUUCAUCACAAAGGGAAACUCCAAUUUCAUGGGGAGACAUUGGGCAAUCAGGGACUGUUAUGAAAAAAAAAAGAAAAAAGAAAAAAAAAGGAAAAAAAAGAAUUUAGUGUUUGUCAAAAUGAAGAAUUGCUUUGCUACAGUUAAUGUGGAGGGGGAUUGAGCUUAAAACUUUUAGAUGCUGUGUUGGUUUUAGACAUUAACUUGCAUAAUUACAGUACACUUUUCAGUAUUUUUUUUCUUCAGGUGUAGCCUCUGUUUUGCAUGGUGGUAAUGCGUAGCCACAUUCAACAAUAACUGAUGCCACUGAGCUCAGACAUUGAGAGGUCCUGGUAUUUGGAACAGCAGCAGUCCCUGUGCUGCCUAUUACCAAGCCCCCAUUACAUUACCCAGAAUGCAGCUGGGUCCACAACAAGAACCCUUUCCCCUUAGGGCGUGUCCACAGAACCCUCCUCUGAGGGUGUGGCCACAACGAGAACCCUCUCCACUGAGAGUGGCCAAAACGUGAAGCCUCUCCCUGAGGGCAUGGCCACAAUGAGAAUCAUCUCUCUGAGGGCGUUGCCACAACGAGAAGCCCCCCACUGAGAGUGUGGCCACAACGAGAAGCCUCUCCCUGAGGGCGUGGCCACAACGAGAACCUUCUCCCCUGAGGUGUGUCCAGAGAAUUUUCCACUGAGGGAGUGUCCAACAACAAGCACCCUCUCACCUAAGGGAGUUUCCACCAAACGAUCCUCUGAGGGCGUGACCAGAGAACCCUCCUCUGAGGUCGUGUCCACAACAAGAACCAUUUCCCCAGAGGAUGUGUCCACAACAAGAACCAUUUCCCGAGAGGAUGUGUCCACAACAAGAACCAUUUCCCCAGAGGAUGUGUCCACAACAAGAACCAUUUCCCCAGAGGGCGUGUCCAGAAUGUGAACACUCUCUGUGAGGGCGUGUCCACAACCACUGCCUCACAGCACAGUGGACUCCCAAGCACACUAAACUAUAUGUUCGGCUGGUAUUGUUGGUUUUCCUCUGGUCCUGUAGACCAGUCGUGCUCACAAACAGUUGCAGAUACUCUACCGCAAUCUACUUACAGCAUAUACAUAAACGUCAAGGACUCCAAUACAUUUUGCUUCGACAUUAAACGCGUGUACGAUGUAAAACGUCAUGCCUGGCUUGCCCCUUUCCUACAGCUACUACAACUGACGUUUCCACAAGUAAAGUGUGUGCAUUGUUAUGAAAGAUAUUUUUUUUAAAUGUGUCUUUUUGGGCAGGGUGGGGGGGCUGUCUUUCUGAGAUAAGAGGCAGAGGAUGUAUGCCAAAGAGAUUUAUUUUAUGACAAGGAUAAUCAUGUAACUUUUCCGUUGUUUUCUAUUUUGAUUGUGGGAAUUGUGCAGGGGGGGCACAGUAAUCGUGAUCCUGUAGUUUGUAGUGUGUGCUAUACAAUCCCACUGCACAUUCCUACCAAACAAGAGAGAAAAAAAAUCGAUGGAUGAUGGAAUGAUAUAGUGGUUAAGAGAUGAGUGCACCACAUGAAUGGAGGGAAAUUAACACUAUGAAUAUGCAUUUUUACAGAAC